Molecule: ribosomal RNA, 466 nt
Filed under: uncultured bacterium
Lineage: Bacteria
Description: partial 16S ribosomal RNA
Rfam family: Bacterial small subunit ribosomal RNA
Source: RNAcentral
GAUGAACGCUGGCGGCGUGCCUAACACAUGCAAGUCGAGCGAACCCUUCGGGGUGAGCGGCGGACGGGUGAGUAACGCGUGGGUAACCUGCCCUAUACACACGGAUAACGUACCGAAAGGUACGCUAAUACGGGAUAAAGUUGUUGGAUGGCAUCUUCUAACAAUCAAAGCUCCGGCGGUAUAGGAUGGACCCGCGUCUGAUUAGCUAGUUGGUGAGGUAAUGGCUUACCAAGGCGACGAUCAGUAGCCGACCUGAGAGGGUGAUCGGCCACACUGGAACGGAGACACGGUCCAGACUCCUACGGGAGGCAGCAGUGGGGAAUAUUGCACAAUGGGCGAAAGCCUGAUGCAGCAACGCCGCGUGAGCGAUGAAGGUCUUCGGAUCGUAAAGCUCUGUCCUCAAGGAAGAUAAUGACGGUACUUGAGGAGGAAGCCCCGGCUAACUACGUGCCAGCAGCCGCCGUAA